RNAcentral lists this ribosomal RNA (787 nucleotides) under uncultured bacterium. RNAcentral describes it as "bacterial SSU rRNA". It matches the Rfam family "Bacterial small subunit ribosomal RNA", at positions 8 to 796 of the family's 1533-position model. The record is from RNAcentral.
AGAGUUUGAUCAUGGCUCAGGAUGAACGCUAGCGGCAGGCUUAACACAUGCAAGUCGAGGGGUAUAGGUUUUCGGACCUAGGGACCGGCGCACGGGUGCGUAACGCGUAUGCAAUCUACCUUUUACAGAGGGAUAGCCCAGAGAAAUUUGGAUUAAUACCUCAUAGUAUUAUUGAAUGGCAUCAUUUAAUAAUUAAAGUCACAACGGUAAAAGAUGAGCAUGCGUCCCAUUAGCUAGUUGGUAAGGUAACGGCUUACCAAGGCAACGAUGGGUAGGGGUCCUGAGAGGGAGAUCCCCCACACUGGUACUGAGACACGGACCAGACUCCUACGGGAGGCAGCAGUGAGGAAUAUUGGUCAAUGGGCGCAAGCCUGAACCAGCCAUGCCGCGUGCAGGAUGAAGCAUCUAUGGUGUGUAAACUGCUUUUGUACGAGAAGAAACACUCCUACGUGUAGGAGCUUGACGGUAUCGUAAGAAUAAGGACCGGCUAACUCCGUGCCAGCAGCCGCGGUAAUACGGCGGGUCCAAGCGUUAUCCGGAAUCAUUGGGUUUAAAGGGUCCGUAGGCGGUUUUGUAAGUCAGUGGUGAAAGCCCAUCGCUCAACGGUGGAACGGCCAUUGAUACUGCAAGACUUGAAUUAUUAGGAAGUAACUAGAAUAUGUAGUGUAGCGGUGAAAUGCUUAGAUAUUACAUGGAAUACCAAUUGCGAAGGCAGGUUACUACUAAUAUAUUGACGCUGAUGGACGAAAGCGUGGGGAGCGAACAGGAUUAGAUACCCUAGUAGUCC